Molecule: ribosomal RNA, 804 nt
Filed under: Platynereis cf. australis PA-2020
Lineage: Eukaryota; Metazoa; Annelida; Polychaeta; Phyllodocida; Nereididae
Description: 12S ribosomal RNA
Source: RNAcentral
AAUAGUUUGAUUUUGGCUACCAUAUUGGCUACAAUAAAAUAUAAUACAUGCAAUCCACCGACACCCCGUGAAACAUUCUCCUCCCCCUUAAAGUAUUCUCUUCCAUUUUUAAGGAUAAGUAUAACUAAUCUCCAAUUUCACGCCUGCAGUAAAGUAUUUUGCUCUAAAUUAAACUUAUAUCACAGAUAUUAUAUUAAGUGCUGACAAAAUUCGUGCCAGCCGUCGCGGUUAAACGAUAAGCACAAGCCAAUAAAAAUACGGAGAUGUACUGAUAUACACUAAACAUUAUAGUGGUACAAUACAUAUAAUAAAAUAAAACUUACCAAUAUCUCACCCACACAAAAGAAUAAACAAAAACACGGAUUAGAUACCCUUUUAUCUUAUUCCUCCACCACCUCUCCGGGCACUACGAACCCAUGUUUAAAACCUAAAAAAAUUGGCGGCACUUUAUGCUAUUAGGGGAAUCUGUCACAUUACUCGCCAAUCCACGUUAAACCCUUCUUGUUAUAGAAUUUCCAGCUUGUAUACUGCCGUCGCAAGCCCGCAUUACCUAAAAUUGCUGGCAAUACAGACUUCUCUCUGACGUCAGGUCAAUGUGCAGCCCAUUAACAAGUUUAGAUGGAUUACAAUAAACAUAAAACAGGUUGACAGUUAUCAAUCUCUGUCAUAAUAUGGACUUAACAGUAAAACGCUAAUAGUAUGAGCUAUUGAAUAUGCAAUUUAAAGUGUGCACAAAUCGCCCGUCACUCUCACCGAAAGGCGAGAUAAGUCGUAACAUAGUAGGCGUAACUGAAGUUGUGCCUU